GGGAACGUGGCUCAGUGGUGGAGUGCUUGCCUUGCAUGCAUGAGGCCCUGGGUUCAAUUCCUCAGCAUCACUU
Non-coding RNA from Dipodomys ordii (Ord's kangaroo rat), 73 nucleotides. The record is from Rfam. Lineage: Eukaryota; Metazoa; Chordata; Mammalia; Rodentia; Heteromyidae.